Vicia faba (fava bean) is the source of this 279-nucleotide non-coding RNA. Lineage: Eukaryota; Viridiplantae; Streptophyta; Magnoliopsida; Fabales; Fabaceae. The record is from the annotation of a GenBank genome assembly.
AUGAAUGCAUAUGAACAUAUGAAUAUUUACACAAAUAAGAACCAAGAAUUCAUGAUACUACUCAAUUCCAAACAUGGUAAACCAAGUUCUAAGCAACCCUUUACUCCACCAAACCGAAUUCGGGCAGCAGCUAUACGUAUGAAACAACAUUCAAACUCUCAAUACCAAACAUGUUUUAGCGCAAAAGGAAACAAUGAAAUAAUGCCACCCGAAUUACCUCCGCAAUUGAAACAAAUUGUUCAACAAAAAACCAAACAAAACUUCUUCCAAUCGAUUUAA